UUUUGGGGUUUUUUUUUUUUUUGUCAAGGCAAACUGAACAGAUAAGGAACAGGCAAAAUGCAGCAUUUAAGUUAGGUAGAAACAAGUUAACGUGGCCAUCUCUCAAGCCCUGGUAGGGGCAGCAGCGGAGGAAAGGCAGGCUGCUGGAGGAGGGCGGGGCAGGGCUCCAAGCAGUCGAUGGAGCUCUGGUUGCAGGGCAGGGAAAAGCUGGUCUGUUGGGGAGGCCUGACUCUGCACGGCUUGGCCCGUGAGGUGGCAGCGGGGACAGAAAUACAGUCAAGUAACCAAUUAUUUGUGCAGCCAGUCCAUGGGCUGCCGGAGGGGCAAUUGUACAUGUGUCGGGCGAUGAUGUAACGGUCAGCUGAGGCUGGAGAAACGUGGGAGGGGUGGACGACAGGGAAGAGGCUGGGAUCGGGUAGGCGCAUUUCUCCACAACGAGGUAUAAUAGUGCAAGAUGUCCAAAGGACCAUUGUCACGGCGGCCAUGGGCUGUAGAAGGGCACAGGCUGCCUCCGUAUGCUGUGGCAUGGGAGCACGGGCCAAGGGGCUAUAAGCCUAACAGAGAGCAAGUGAAACGAGACUGACCUCCAGCAUCCCAGAGAACAAACGGCUCAGGAUAGCUAAUGGACUGCCGUCACAAUGGCCAUGGGCCAUGGAGGGCAUAGGCCCAAGGGGCUUAGAACCCGAAAGAGAAGUGGUACCAGCACCAUGAUCAAGAGAGACGAGCCAAUCCUCAGUUGUGGGAAAAUGGCCAAAAGGAAAGGGAAGAAUCCUACCGAUCCAAUAGGGUCAAGAGUUUUCCGUGGUCCUCCAUCAGGAAAAAUAAUGUAUGAGUGUUUGCCUACAUCCAUGUGCUCCACAUGUAUGAAGAAAGUGCCCAGUGAAGGCCAGAAGACGGUGUCGGAUGCCCUGGUACUGGAGUUGUGAGCUGCCAUAUGUGAGCAGGCAGCUUCGUGCUCCUGAUGCCAAAGGCACAAGCAGGCUACUUCCGCCACCAUGGCUUCACCCCAUAAGAGACCAUGAAUCCGAAGCAUGA
This is a non-coding RNA of Peromyscus maniculatus bairdii (prairie deer mouse), 1035 nucleotides long. The record is from RefSeq and is a predicted model, not a curated record. NCBI's taxonomy places the organism in Eukaryota, Metazoa, Chordata, Mammalia, Rodentia, Cricetidae.